CCUACGGGAGGCUGCAGUAGGGAAUCUUCCACAAUGGGCGAAAGCCUGAUGGAGCAACGCCGCGUGGGUGAAGAAGGUCUUCGGAUCGUAAAACCUUGUUGUUAGAGAAGAAAGGGCGUGAGAGUAUCUGUUCAUGUUUCGACGGUAUCUAACCAGAAAGCCACGGCUAACUACGUGCGCGCAGCCGCGGUAAUACGUAGGUGGCAUGCGUUAUCCGGAUUGAUUGGGCGUAAAGGGAACGCAGGUGGUCUGUUAAGUGUGAUGUGAAAGCCUUCGGCUUAACCGGAGUAGUGCAUUGGAUACUGGGAGACUUGAGUGCAGAAGAGGAGAGUGGAACUCGAUGUGUAGCGGUGAAAUGCGUAGAUAUAUGGAAGAACACCAGUGGCGAAAGCGGCUCUCUGGUCUGUAACUGACGCUGAGGUUCGAAAGCGUGGGUAGCAAACAGGAUUAGAUACCCGAGUAGUC
This 465-nucleotide ribosomal RNA is filed under the name uncultured bacterium. RNAcentral's name for it is "partial 16S ribosomal RNA". It matches the Rfam family "Bacterial small subunit ribosomal RNA", at positions 338 to 795 of the family's 1533-position model. The record is from RNAcentral.